ACGAAAGUCUGACGGAGCAACGCCGCGUGAACGAUGAAGGCUUUCGGGUCGUAAAGUUCUGUUGUCAGGGAAGAACAAGUACCGGAGUAACUGCCGGUACCUUGACGGUACCUGACCAGAAAGCCACGGCUAACUACGUGCCAGCAGCCGCGGUAAUACGUAGGUGGCAAGCGUUGUCCGGAAUUAUUGGGCGUAAAGCGCGCGCAGGCGGUUCCUUAAGUCUGAUGUGAAAGCCCCCGGCUCAACCGGGGAGGGUCAUUGGAAACUGGGGAACUUGAGUGCAGAAGAGGAGAGCGGAAUUCCACGUGUAGCGGUGAAAUGCGUAGAGAUGUGGAGGAACACCAGUGGCGAAGGCGGCUCUCUGGUCUGUAACUGACGCUGAGGCGCGAAAGCGUGGGGAGCGAACAGGAUUAGAUACCCUGGUAGUCCACGCCGUAAACGAUGAGUGCUAAGUGUUAGAGGGUUUCCGCCCUUUAGUGCUGCAGCAAACGCAUUAAGCACUCCGCCUGGGGAGUAC
RNAcentral lists this ribosomal RNA (517 nucleotides) under uncultured bacterium. RNAcentral describes it as "bacterial SSU rRNA". It matches the Rfam family "Bacterial small subunit ribosomal RNA", at positions 375 to 883 of the family's 1533-position model. The record is from RNAcentral.